RNAcentral lists this ribosomal RNA (301 nucleotides) under uncultured bacterium. RNAcentral's name for it is "partial 16S ribosomal RNA". It matches the Rfam family "Bacterial small subunit ribosomal RNA", at positions 509 to 807 of the family's 1533-position model. The record is from RNAcentral.
CAGUAGCCACGGUAACACGAAGGUCCCGAGCGUUGUUCGGAAUCACUGGGCGUAAAGGGAGCGUAGGCGGCGUGGUAAGUCAGAUGUGAAAUCCCGGGGCUCAACCCCGGAACUGCAUCCGAUACUGCCAUGCUAGAGGAUUGGAGAGGUAGCUGGAAUUCUUGGUGUAGCAGUGAAAUGCGUGGAGAUCAAGAGGAACACUCGUGGCGAAAGCGAGCUACUGGACAAUAACUGACGCUGAGGCUCGAAGGCCAGGGUAGCGAAAGGGAUUAGAUACCCGUGUAGUCCCUGUCUCUUAUAC